CUCCCGGCCUCGCACCCCAAUGUCUAAGCGCAGUCGCGUUCCGACUUCGCUUUCGGGGCGCGAGGCGGGGCCUUUGCUAGUGUCGUGUGGGCCGAGCUUUUCGGGUGGCUCCGGUGUCCCCGCCCCUCAGAGGCUCGAGAAGACCGAGUGAGAAGCUGAGAAGCGGACGGGGACGGCGGGAAAGAUGCCCCAGCCUCUGUAUCCAUGGGGAGGUAGUGCGAGUGGCAGUGAAGUUGGAUGGAUCAGACUGCGCAGACCGUGUUCCUCAGUUGGAGUGAUGUUCCUGGCCAGCUUUCCAGUGGCUUCUUCCCAGUGUCUUCUCCUGAUACCUACUUAUUCAUUCAUUCAGUCACUUAAGUCUACAGUGCAUAUAAUGCUUACUCUUCUUGGUACUCUGAGAUGAAUUUAAGACUGAUGCCACAUUGAGUAAUAAAGCAUAUGAGAUUAAUCGUUUCAAAUCCACAUUAAACAGUGUGCCUCUGUGAUAGAGUGCUUACUUGGCAUGUGCAAGAACCUGGAUUUGAUCCCUCGCAUCACAAAUAAGUAAAUAAAUAAACGUGAGGAGACUACCUGCAGGGACGUGCAAGUGCAAAUGUUUAAAGUGAAGCCACUUUGUGGAGGGGUAUUCAUAUUUAAUGCCUUAUUCUUGUACAUUACCAAGAGUCCCUCUCACAUCAACCAAAGGUAGCCAUUAUGGACAUCUGGGUGUAUUUAUUUGUAAUCUUUUAUCUAAUACUUAAUGUACAUACAUACUAAUCUUGAUAAGCACUCGUGUAUAUACAUGUAUAUAUGUGUACUGUAUGUACAAGUACAUGCAGAGGUUUAUCUAAAACAUAUCUAUCUAUCUAUAUGAAUUGAAUUGUAAAAAAUAAGUCAUGAGGGCUGGUAUUAUUUCCAGUAUACAGAACUGCACCGGUUGGGGAUAUAGCUCAGUGGCACAAGCGCCUGCCUGGAAGCGCAAGGUCUUGAGUUCUAUUCCCAGUAGCAAAAAAAAAAAAAAUUUAACUUAGAGAACUGUACCUUGUGUAUAGUAAGUACUCAGUAAAUAUUUGUUCAGUAUGAAUGGUUGUUAUUUGUAUAAUUUUUUUCAUUUUACAUUUAAUGAGCACUUCUCCAACCAUUUUUUGGUAGCAUGAGUUUUUAGGACUGAUUAUGUUCCAUUCUAGGUAUAUACUAUUCUUUAUUUAAGAUUUCUUUGGGGAAAAUUUAAGUAUUUCCCAAUAUUUUACUCUUAUAAACAACUUUUAGUAAAUAUUCUCAUACAUAAUUUAUGAAGUAUAUGUUUUAAUUUCUCAACAUGUACUCUGAUAAAGAAUCAAUGAAUAUAAACAUAUUUUAGGAUUUUGAAAACUUAAGAUUUUUGUGGGAAAUAUUACAUAAACUUCCACUCCUGUGACAACUUGACGAAAUAUCUGAUCUCUGAACCUUUACUAGCAUUUGGUACUUAAAAGAAAAAUUGCCUUCAUUUGAGUUCCUCUUACUCUAUUAAAGUUGACUUUUUUUUACACGUA
Molecule: long non-coding RNA, 1511 nt
Organism: Chinchilla lanigera (long-tailed chinchilla)
Lineage: Eukaryota; Metazoa; Chordata; Mammalia; Rodentia; Chinchillidae
Exons: 2
Source: RefSeq, a predicted model, not a curated record